RNAcentral lists this long non-coding RNA (459 nucleotides) under Mytilus galloprovincialis (Mediterranean mussel). The record is from RNAcentral. Lineage: Eukaryota; Metazoa; Mollusca; Bivalvia; Mytilida; Mytilidae.
CUUGUAUAUAUGCAUAAGUAAUUUUAAUGACUUGGUUGUGUAAUCUGUGAAUCAUGUGGCAACUUUUGUGGUCUCACUUUUGGCAGCCUUUGUGAUUACCGAUAUGGCAACUUUUGUCAUCAUACAUGUGGCAAUUUUUGUUUUCACACAAGUCACAACCUUUUAUGAUUACACAUGUGACAGAGAGGCAGAAGAUACCAAAGGAAAUCAUGAUGCAUGGAUUUUUCUAGCAUUCCACAGGGUCCAGUUUUCAGACCCAUUCCCAACGGCAAAAACCCUACAUUUUUCCCAAUUUUGGUAGUAAAAUUCCCAAAUGAUACAGGAAGUGUGGGAAAAUACUAAAACCAGAUCAAAUACAGAAACGGACAAGUAUAUAAUUCCGGGUUUGUCAAUCAAAUACAGUUAAUAAAAAAUGAAAAGAACCAAACAUGUGACAGCUAUCAUAGCAACACUAAAAUU